AGCGUGGGCAAUAAUGUAGGGUUCAUAACCCUGAGGUCACGGGUUCGAGUCCCGUCUCCGCUA
This 63-nucleotide transfer RNA is filed under the name Bacteroidota bacterium. RNAcentral describes it as "Bacteroidetes bacterium (activated sludge metagenome) tRNA-Ser". It matches the Rfam family "tRNA", at positions 14 to 71 of the family's 71-position model. From Rfam's summary of the family: Transfer RNA (tRNA) molecules are approximately 80 nucleotides in length. Their secondary structure includes four short double-helical elements and three loops (D, anti-codon, and T loops). Further hydrogen bonds mediate the characteristic L-shaped molecular structure. tRNAs have two regions of fundamental functional importance: the anti-codon, which is responsible for specific mRNA codon recognition, and the 3' end, to which the tRNAs corresponding amino acid is attached (by aminoacyl-tRNA synthetases). tRNAs cope with the degeneracy of the genetic code in two manners: having more than one tRNA (with a specific anti-codon) for a particular amino acid; and 'wobble' base-pairing, i.e. permitting non-standard base-pairing at the 3rd anti-codon position. Lineage: Bacteria; Pseudomonadati; Bacteroidota. The record is from RNAcentral.